UACGGAGGGUGCGAGCGUUGUCCGGAAUCAUUGGGCGUAAAGAGUUCGUAGGUGGUACGUUAAGUCAGGUGUUAAAGGCAGAGGCUCAACUUCUGUAAGGCACUUGAUACUGGCGAACUAGAAUGCGGUAGAGGUAAAGGGAAUUCCUGGUGUAGCGGUGAAAUGCGUAGAUAUCAGGAGGAACAUCGGUGGCGUAAGCGCUUUACUGGGCCGUAAUUGACACUGAGGAACGAAAGCCGGGGUAGCAAAUGGGAUUAGAUACCCGGGUAGU
This 271-nucleotide ribosomal RNA is filed under the name uncultured bacterium. RNAcentral describes it as "partial 16S ribosomal RNA". It matches the Rfam family "Bacterial small subunit ribosomal RNA", at positions 524 to 794 of the family's 1533-position model. The record is from RNAcentral.